RNAcentral lists this small RNA (28 nucleotides) under Bombyx mori (domestic silkworm). RNAcentral's name for it is "ovarian small RNA-13152". Lineage: Eukaryota; Metazoa; Arthropoda; Insecta; Lepidoptera; Bombycidae. The record is from RNAcentral.
CAGAUGACUCGCGAACACUGUUAAUCGA